UUAAGUUAUUAAGGGCACACGGUGGAUGCCUUGGUACGGGAAGUUGAUGAAGGACGUGACUACCUGCGAUAAGCCACGGAUAGGUGGAAAUAACCCAAUACCCGUGGAUUUCCGAAUGGGGCAACCCAUCCCAAGUAAUGUUGGGAUAUCCACAACUGAAUUCAUAGGUUGUGUGAAAACAACUCAGCGAACUGAAACAUCUAAGUAGCUGAUGGAAAAGAAAACAAUAGUGAUUUCCUGAGUAGUGGCGAGCGAAAGGGAAAUAGCCUAAACCGUCUAACGUGUUAAAGGAAGUAACCGUUGCGUUAGCGGGGUCGUGGGGCAUAUUUUGGCUGAAUUACUAAUAAGCCGAAGAGUAAAAAAUCAUUUUGUUAGCUGAAUGUUCUGGAAAGUUCAACCAUAGAGGGUGAAAGUCCUGUAAGCGAAAACAUUAUGACUCUUCUAAUAUGUUCCCAAGUACCACGAAGUAAGUGGAAUUUUGUGGGAAUUUGCCAGAACCAUCUGGUAAGGCUAAAUACUCUCCCGUAACCGAUAGUGAAUAAGUACCGUGAGGGAAAGGUGAAAAGUACUCCUUAUAGGAGAGUGAAAUAGUACCUGAAACCGUGUGCUUACAAGCAGUAGGAGUCCCGAUUUAUCGGGAUGACUGCGUGCCUUUUGGAUAAUGAGCCAACGAGUUACUCGUAUGUUGCAAGGUUAAUCCCUUAAGCGGAGAAGCCGUAGCGAAAGCAAGUCUUAAUCGGGCGAUUGAAGUAACAUGCGGUAGACGCGAAACCGGGUGAGCUACCCUUGUCCAGGAUGAAGUGAGGGUAAAACCUCAUGGAGGUCCGAACCAGUGUGGGUUGAAAACCGCUUGGAUGAGGUGAGGGUAGGGGUGAAAGGCCAAUCAAACCCGGAAAUAGCUCGUAUUCCUCGAAAUAGCUUUAGGGCUAGCCUCGAGUUAAAGUGUAACGGAGGUAGAGCACUGAUUGGGCUAGGGCUGUCACAACGGUACCAAACCCAGACAAACUCCGAAUUCCGUAUACAUGUUUCUCGGGAGUCAGGCAGUGAGGGAUAAGCUUCAUUGCCGAGAGGGGAACAACCCAGACCACCAACUAAGGUCCCCAAAUGGUAGUUAACAGAGAAAGGAUGUUAAGUUGCUCUGACAACUAGGAUGUUGGCUUAGAAGCAGCCAUUCAUUUAAAGAGUGCGUAAUAGCUCACUAGUCAAGCGACUUGGCGUCGACAAUACUCGGGACUUAAACUACCUACCGAAGUUGUGGGAUUCUGACUCGUCAGGAUCGGUAGAGGAACAUUCUAUAUGCGCUGAAGGCAAACUGCGAGGUUUUCUGGAGCGUAUAGAAAAGCAAAUGUUGGCAUAAGUAACGAUAAACCAGAUGAGAAAUCUGGUCACCGAAAGUCUAAGGUUUCCUGAGCAAUGCUAAUCAUCUCAGGGUUAGUCGGUCCCUAAGCCGAGGCCGAAAGGCGUAGGCGAUGGAUAACAGGUUAAUAUUCCUGUACCUGGUAAAUUUUGUUCGACCGCAAGGAGGGACGCAGGAGUGAAGAUCAGCCACCUGUUGGAUUAGGUGGUCUAAGCAAGUAGGCCGAAAGUGUAGGCAAAUCCGCACUUUCUUAAAGCCGAGAUGCGAACGGGAGUCCGUAGGACAUAAACUGAUCGUAAACAUACUGCCAAGAAAAUCUUCGUGCGGGAGAAAUUUAUUAGACCGUACCGCAAACCGACACAGGUAGACAGGAUGAGUAUUCUAAGGUGCUCGAGUGAGCCGUGGUUAAGGAACUCGGCAAAUUCACCCCGUAACUUCGGGAGAAGGGGUGCCCCCGGUAGGUGAAACUCUUCGCGAGUUUAGCUGAAAGGGGCCGCAGUGAAAAGGCCCAGGCGACUGUUUAACAAAAACACAUGUCUCUGCGAAGUCAAUUAAGACGAUGUAUAGGGACUGACACCUGCCCGGUGCUGGAAGGUUAAGAGGAGAGGUUAUCCCUUCGGGGAGAAGCUUUGAAUCGAAGCCCCAGUAAACGGCGGCCGUAACUAUAACGGUCCUAAGGUAGCGAAAUUCCUUGUCGGGUAAGUUCCGACCU
RNAcentral lists this ribosomal RNA (2069 nucleotides) under marine sediment metagenome. RNAcentral's name for it is "bacterial LSU rRNA". It matches the Rfam family "Bacterial large subunit ribosomal RNA", at positions 3 to 1989 of the family's 2925-position model. The record is from RNAcentral.